AUCUGGUUUUUUUUUUAUAGAUUGCAAUAGUUGGCAAUAAUCAGCGAGACCGCGCCGUGCAUAUUAAUUACUCGGCCAGCAGUAACUAGUAAUGGAACCGCACUCACCGCACCGCUCCAGCACCACCACCGCCCGCCCACUCCUCAUCCACCUCCUUCCCGUACACCACCCGCCAUAAUUCUAAUGUCGACCCAGACAUGCCGCAGUCACACGUUCAAAUUACCCCAAUUUCGUGCGGGCAGCGACGGCGAAUAUGUAAAAAAGUGUUCAUAAAUGAAAUGUGAGGGACAGAGCCAUCGGUUAAGCACUGAAAAAAAAAAAACUGAAUAAGAUGGUUAGAUAUUUCAAUUAGGUU
Molecule: non-coding RNA, 355 nt
Organism: Drosophila melanogaster (fruit fly)
Lineage: Eukaryota; Metazoa; Arthropoda; Insecta; Diptera; Drosophilidae
Source: Ensembl